GCAUAUACAUGCAAGUUGAACGAGAUAAGUUGUAGCAAUACGGCUUUGAAAGUGGCGCACGGGUGCGUAACACGUAUGCAACCUACCUUUUACCGGGGAAUAGCCUCUCGAAAGAGAGAUUAAUACCCCAUAAUAUAUUUGUUAGGCAUCUAAUAGAUAUUAAAGUUCAGGCGGUAAAAGAUGGGCAUGCGGUUGAUUAGUUAGUUGGUGAGGUAAUGGCUCACCAAGACUUCGAUCAAUAGGGGGUCUGAGAGGAUGUCCCCCCACACUGGUACUGAGACAGGACCAGACUCNUACGGGAGGCAGCAGUAGGGAAUAUUGGACAAUGGGCGCAAGCCUGAUCCAGCCAUGCCGCGUGCAGGAUGAAGGCCCUAUGGGUCGUAAACUGCUUUUGUACGGGAAGAAAUGUCACUACGUGUAGUGAUUUGACGGUACCGUGAGAAUAAGGAUCGGCUAACUUCGUGCCAGCAGCCGCGGUAAUACGAAGGAUCCAAGCGUUGUCCGGAUUUACUGGGUUUAAAGGGUGCGUAGGCGGACUUUUAAGUCAGUGGUGAAAGCCUGUAGCUUACUAUAGAAUUGCCAUUGAAACUGAAAGUCUCGAGUGUGGUUGAGGUACUGGAAUAUAUCAUGUAGCGGUGAAUGCUUAGAUAUGAUAUAGAACACCAUUGCG
RNAcentral lists this ribosomal RNA (670 nucleotides) under uncultured Bacteroidota bacterium. Its description in RNAcentral is "bacterial SSU rRNA". It matches the Rfam family "Bacterial small subunit ribosomal RNA", at positions 46 to 717 of the family's 1533-position model. The record is from RNAcentral. Lineage: Bacteria; Pseudomonadati; Bacteroidota.